GCCCGAAUAGCUCAGUUGGUAGAGCAAGCGACUGAAAAUCGCUGUGUCGGUGGUUCGAAUCCGCCUUCGGGCACCA
This 76-nucleotide transfer RNA is filed under the name Parasphingorhabdus litoris. RNAcentral's name for it is "tRNA-Phe". It matches the Rfam family "tRNA". Rfam says of the family: Transfer RNA (tRNA) molecules are approximately 80 nucleotides in length. Their secondary structure includes four short double-helical elements and three loops (D, anti-codon, and T loops). The record is from RNAcentral. RNAcentral also lists the same sequence under 6 other names. Lineage: Bacteria; Pseudomonadati; Pseudomonadota; Alphaproteobacteria; Sphingomonadales; Sphingorhabdaceae.